RNAcentral lists this ribosomal RNA (477 nucleotides) under uncultured bacterium. RNAcentral describes it as "partial 16S ribosomal RNA". It matches the Rfam family "Bacterial small subunit ribosomal RNA", at positions 28 to 506 of the family's 1533-position model. The record is from RNAcentral.
GAUGAACGCUGGCGGCGUGCUUAACACAUGCAAGUCGAACGGGAAACCUUUUAUUGAAGCUUCGGCAGAUUUAGCUGGUUUCUAGUGGCGGACGGGUGAGUAACGCGUGGGUAACCUGCCUUAUACAGGGGGAUAACAACCAGAAAUGGUUGCUAAUACCGCAUAAGCGCACAGGACCGCAUGGUCCGGUGUGAAAAACUCCGGUGGUAUAAGAUGGACCCGCGUUGGAUUAGCUAGUUGGCAGGGUAACGGCCUACCAAGGCGACGAUCCAUAGCCGGCCUGGGGGGGGGAACGGCACAAUUGGGACUGAGACACGGCCCAGACCCCUACGGGGGGCAGCAGGGGGGAAUAUUGCAAAAUGGGGGAAACCCUAAUGCAGCGUCGCCGGGGGAAGGAAGAAGUAUCUCGGUAUGUAAACUUCUAUCAGCAGGGAAGAUAGGGACGGUACCUGACUAAGAAGCCCCGGCUAACUACGU